UUUCUGAUUUCUAUUUUCUUUAUUUCUUUUAAUUCCCUUUUAUUUCAAAAAUCAAUAUCUUCUUCAUUUUUAAUCCAAAAAUUAUGGGACCAAUUGCAUUAGUCUCCAAAUAAAUUCUAGUUUCUAUUUAUGAUUUUUUAUUUUUUUUAUUUUGUCAUUUGAUAUUUUUUGUGAAUUUUCUCUUUUCUGGUUAUUAUUUAAUUCAUUUUAAAUAGUUUUUGAUAUUC
This 227-nucleotide long non-coding RNA is filed under the name Lathyrus oleraceus (garden pea). RNAcentral describes it as "Pisum sativum (pea) long non-coding RNA (PSAT_LNC015964)". Lineage: Eukaryota; Viridiplantae; Streptophyta; Magnoliopsida; Fabales; Fabaceae. The record is from RNAcentral.